Molecule: ribosomal RNA, 118 nt
Filed under: Danio rerio (zebrafish)
Lineage: Eukaryota; Metazoa; Chordata; Actinopteri; Cypriniformes; Danionidae
Source: RNAcentral
ACGCACAGCCAUAUCAACCUGCAGCCCAAGACAGGAUACUUACUGAAGCUAAGCAAAGCUGAGCCUGGUCAGUACCUUGAUGGGAGACCUCAUGGGAAAAACUAGGUUGCUGUUGGAA